This is a long non-coding RNA of Alosa sapidissima (American shad), 257 nucleotides long. RefSeq lists it as uncharacterized. Lineage: Eukaryota; Metazoa; Chordata; Actinopteri; Clupeiformes; Clupeidae. The record is from RefSeq and is a predicted model, not a curated record. The transcript is spliced from 2 exons.
AAUACCUUUUAAUACCUUUUUUAAUACCUUCACAAUAUUGUUUAAUACCAACACGACUUCGAGCUGCAACUAGCGGCAACCUUUCGAAAUUCAGUGUUGGGGGUAACUAAUUAUAAAUAACAGAUUACUGUCAUUUUUGUUACUUAACUUUCUGAGUAAGAAAGUGUAGCAAUGCUUACAAUUCAAAUCAAGUAUCUAUUAUUACAGUUACUGGAUACUUUGUUCCUUUUUUGCUUCAAUAAAAACACUGGCCUAUA